UGAGGAAUUUUCCGCAAUGGGCGAAAGCCUGACGGAGCAACGCCGCGUGAGGGAUGAAGUCUCUAGGGAUGUAAACCUCUGUUGGGAGGGACGCGGUACCUCCUGAGGAAGCCCCGGCUAACUACGUGUCAGCAGCCGCGGUAAAACCGGUUACCCUACGG
RNAcentral lists this ribosomal RNA (161 nucleotides) under uncultured bacterium. RNAcentral's name for it is "partial 16S ribosomal RNA". It matches the Rfam family "Bacterial small subunit ribosomal RNA", at positions 355 to 535 of the family's 1533-position model. The record is from RNAcentral.